This 474-nucleotide ribosomal RNA is filed under the name Streptomyces camponoticapitis. RNAcentral describes it as "bacterial SSU rRNA". It matches the Rfam family "Bacterial small subunit ribosomal RNA", at positions 106 to 594 of the family's 1533-position model. The record is from RNAcentral. Lineage: Bacteria; Bacillati; Actinomycetota; Actinomycetes; Kitasatosporales; Streptomycetaceae.
GUGAGUAACACGUGGGCAAUCUGCCCUGCACUCUGGGACAAGCCCUGGAAACGGGGUCUAAUACCGGAUAAUACUGUGCCCCUCAUGGGGGAUGGUUAAAAGCUCCGGCGGUGCAGGAUGAGCCCGCGGCCUAUCAGCUUGUUGGUGGGGUAAUGGCCUACCAAGGCGACGACGGGUAGCCGGCCUGAGAGGGCGACCGGCCACACUGGGACUGAGACACGGCCCAGACUCCUACGGGAGGCAGCAGUGGGGAAUAUUGCACAAUGGGCGAAAGCCUGAUGCAGCGACGCCGCGUGAGGGAUGACGGCCUUCGGGUUGUAAACCUCUUUCAGCAGGGAAGAAGCGAAAGUGACGGUACCUGCAGAAGAAGCGCCGGCUAACUACGUGCCAGCAGCCGCGGUAAUACGUAGGGCGCAAGCGUUGUCCGGAAUUAUUGGGCGUAAAGAGCUCGUAGGCGGUUUGUCACGUCGGGUG